UACGUAGGAGACGAGCGUUGUCCGGAGUUACUGGGCGUAAAGGGUGCGCAGGCGGCCUGGCGCGUCGCGAGUGAAAUCUCCUGGCUCAACUGGAAGGGUGGUCGCGAGACGGCUGGGCUUGAGGCUCGGUGAGGGGCGUGGAAUUCCGGGUGGAGCGGUGAAAUGCGUAGAGAUCCGGAGGAACACCGACGGCGUAGGCAGCGCCCUAGACGAGACCUGACGCUCAGGCACGAAAGCGCGGGGAGCGAACAGG
RNAcentral lists this ribosomal RNA (253 nucleotides) under uncultured bacterium. RNAcentral's name for it is "partial 16S ribosomal RNA". It matches the Rfam family "Bacterial small subunit ribosomal RNA", at positions 524 to 776 of the family's 1533-position model. The record is from RNAcentral.